RNAcentral lists this transfer RNA (84 nucleotides) under Felis catus (domestic cat). It matches the Rfam family "tRNA". Rfam says of the family: Transfer RNA (tRNA) molecules are approximately 80 nucleotides in length. Their secondary structure includes four short double-helical elements and three loops (D, anti-codon, and T loops). Lineage: Eukaryota; Metazoa; Chordata; Mammalia; Carnivora; Felidae. The record is from Rfam by way of RNAcentral. RNAcentral also lists the same sequence under 1 other name.
ACCUGGGUGGCUUAGUCAGUUAAGCGUCUGACUUUGGCUCAGGUCUCUAUCUCAAGGCACGUGAGUUCGAGCCCACAUCAGGCU